This 413-nucleotide ribosomal RNA is filed under the name uncultured Gammaproteobacteria bacterium. RNAcentral describes it as "bacterial SSU rRNA". It matches the Rfam family "Bacterial small subunit ribosomal RNA", at positions 456 to 867 of the family's 1533-position model. The record is from RNAcentral. Lineage: Bacteria; Pseudomonadati; Pseudomonadota; Gammaproteobacteria.
AUACCCGGUUGGGAUGACGGUACCCAAAGAAUAAGCACCGGCUAACUUCGUGCCAGCAGCCGCGGUAAUACGAAGGGUGCAAGCGUUACUCGGAAUUACUGGGCGUAAAGCGUGCGUAGGUGGUCGUUUAAGUCCGUUGUGAAAGCCCUGGGCUCAACCUGGGAACUGCAGUGGAUACUGGGCGACUAGAGUGUGGUAGAGGGUAGCGGAAUUCCUGGUGUAGCAGUGAAAUGCGUAGAGAUCAGGAGGAACAUCCAUGGCGAAGGCAGCUACCUGGACCAACACUGACACUGAGGCACGAAAGCGUGGGGAGCAAACAGGAUUAGAUACCCUGGUAGUCCACGCCCUAAACGAUGCGAACUGGAUGUUGGGUGCAAUUUGGCACGCAGUAUCGAAGCUAACGCGUUAAGUUC